CCACCAUGUCGCCGCCAUUUUAACUUCCUGCAUCAAAGGAAGACGCGCAAAUCGUACAGCACCCGUACUCGAAAACGUUUCGUCGUUAUUUAGUGUAUCAAAGGGGGUUUGUCUUUGGUUAUUGUUUUCUCUUUCAGGGAUCGAACCGACUAACGUUACACCGGUAGAGCCUCAGACCGCUCGUAUCGGGUAGUCAGCCGGAGGGUCGCUAUGCCGAGCCACCCGCUGCGUGUAGCGGUUGUGUGCUCGAGCAACCAGAACCGCAGUAUGGAAGCGCACAGUAUCCUCAGCAAACGUGGAUUUGAUGUGCGUUCAUUUGGGACAGGCUCUCAUGUGAAGCUACCUGGUCCUGCCCCGGAUAAACCAAAUGUGUAUGACUUCAAAACGACAUAUGUACAGAUGUACAACGACUUGGUCCGCAAGGACAAGGAACUAUACACACAGAACGGCAUCCUGCACAUGCUGGACCGCAACAAGCGGAUCAAGUCAAAGCCGGAGCGCUUUCAGAGCUGCAAGGACAAGUUUGACCUGGUCAUCACCUGUGAAGAGAGAGUCUAUGACCAAGUGCUGGAGGAUCUGAACUCAAGAGAGCAGGAGACUCUACAGUCCGUGCACGUCAUUAAUGUAGACAUUCAGGAUAACCACGAGGAAGCCACGCUGGGCGCCUUCCUCAUCUGUGAGCUGUGUCAAUGUAUCCAGCACACGGAGGACAUGGAGGAUGAAAUGGAUGAGCUCAUACAGGAGUUUGAGGAGAAGAGCAACAGGCCGUUUCUUCACACUGUCUGUUUCUACUGAUACAAGAUAGUGUUAUUGCAAUGAACAGACUGGGAUCACAAGCAAUCAAACUGUAGUUUACACACACACACACACACACACUUAACUCCUUGACCAUCUACAGGAAAGUACAUACAUGUUGUUUGCCUACACAGCCACACUUGCGCAGACACAGCUUUGGGUUAGGACCUAACAAUGGCUGCUGCUGGGCCUACUGACAUGUUUCCUCUGCAGAGGACAGACUCGCUGCUCUCUGCCUUUAUUUCAGCCCAUCAAGGUCAGCCCAAGGUCCUCCCUCCAUCCAUCUCAGUUCAGUACAAUCACUCAACCAUGUCUCCUCUGGGAGAGCCCCAACACCCCUGAUCCAACAACUGCUUUACCGGUCACUCUUUGUUUUGUUAAGUACAGUCUAUUAAUGCUGAUUUUAUUUUUCUCCACCUGAUAUUAUAAUUGUAAUUCAUUUAAGCAUAUAAGUCAGGCUUUUCUUCUUGACUUGGGACAGUGAAAGUGUGUUUCUUGGGUUCAGCAGGGAAAUUAAUUUAACUGAAAGUGUUUUUGUGCAACCAUGUGUUGUAGAUUAGUUUGGUUAAAGUGGGUGGGCUGAUAAUGAAUUAUCUAACCUAGACUUAUCUAAGUCUCUCCACCAAAUGUGUUUCCAAUAUCUGCACAUUCAUAUUUAAACUCAGAUAUGCUGUUUUUCAAAGCAUAGUUUUCCUUUUGUAAAUGUUUAAGAAUUCAAGCAUUGUAAUUAUUUGCAAACUGCGAGCUCCGCUCAGAGUGCCUGAUUUUUCUGUAUGUACAUAUGACUAAAGAAACCUCUCUUAAAAAAAAAAAAAAAAAAAACCUGUCACGACUCUUUGGGAUGUUUACCUGCAGCUUAAGCUUGUGGUGCUAUAAAAAAAAGGUUACCAUGGCAACUCGAUUCAUUCAUUACGAGCACACCACCACCGCCACCACACACUCACAUCCAUUACACGUUACCUGUGAUUGGUUACACCCUUGCCCCC
Pungitius pungitius (ninespine stickleback) is the source of this 1781-nucleotide RNA transcript. It is a transcript of the gene named SSU72 homolog, RNA polymerase II CTD phosphatase, with no coding region annotated. The record is from RefSeq and is a predicted model, not a curated record. The transcript is spliced from 6 exons. Lineage: Eukaryota; Metazoa; Chordata; Actinopteri; Perciformes; Gasterosteidae.